Hordeum vulgare subsp. vulgare (domesticated barley) is the source of this 116-nucleotide non-coding RNA. NCBI's taxonomy places the organism in Eukaryota, Viridiplantae, Streptophyta, Magnoliopsida, Poales, Poaceae. The record is from Rfam.
AUACUACUCCCUCCGUCCGGAAUUACUUGUCGCAGAAAUGGAUGUAUCUAGAUGUAUUUUUGGUUCUAGAUACAUCCAUUUCUACGACAAGUGAUUCGGGACGGAGGGAGUAUUUG